GCCCUCGUCGAAUAAUGGUAAGCACGCUCGGCUCAUAUUCGAGAGGUCCGUAGUUCGAGUCCCGGAGAGGGCA
RNAcentral lists this transfer RNA (73 nucleotides) under Stegodyphus mimosarum. It matches the Rfam family "tRNA". Rfam says of the family: Transfer RNA (tRNA) molecules are approximately 80 nucleotides in length. Their secondary structure includes four short double-helical elements and three loops (D, anti-codon, and T loops). Lineage: Eukaryota; Metazoa; Arthropoda; Arachnida; Araneae; Eresidae. The record is from Rfam by way of RNAcentral.